Molecule: long non-coding RNA, 1320 nt
Organism: Leopardus geoffroyi (Geoffroy's cat)
Lineage: Eukaryota; Metazoa; Chordata; Mammalia; Carnivora; Felidae
Exons: 2
Source: RefSeq, a predicted model, not a curated record
GGGUUAUGGGAUUGAGUUUGGGCAGUCAGGCCCUCACCCCACGCACCACCUUCCUCCAGUUUCUGCUGCCCAGCACCUGCAUGGCUCGCACACACCUGGGCACCCACUGUGUGUCAGGCUCAGCGCUCUGCACUCUGCCCUGGGGCCGGCAGGUCACAGCGAGGCUUGGGAGACACAGAAUUGUGACACCUGAACACAAAACCUGAGGACAGGCUGGAAGGCAGGAGCGGUCACGGCCGUGGCAGGGGCGGCGGCUCUCGGGGCAGCCCUGCCCCUGGGCUUCACAUUUAGGCCCUUGAAGGCCCUGCGUGGUCUGGAGCCCCGAGAGCGAGCACCGCUUCUGUAGGGCAGCUUUGAGCCCACAGAGUCCUGCAGAGGAGGGGGCUGGAGCCAGAGAAAUAGGGCCUCCCAGUAGAGGGUGGGUUCUGUUUCCUCCGCGAGCGGACUCGGGACAGGAAGGGCACGGCCCCUCAACGAACAGGCAGCCCCCGAGGCAUGGCCACGCUGCCCCUCUGCUGCUUCCUCUGUGGGCGGGGUGCCGGUGGGUUUCAGGGGGCGACUCCCCCACCACGGAAGUGUGCUUUCCUGCGUCCGGCCCGUCAGCGCUCUGACCGUUUCUGUGCCCUGAGGCCGCGGGAGAACCCCAGCAGAGCCUGGUGUCUGGAGGCCUGGCCGGGCCGAGCAAGGACCCUGCACCGUUUGCUCGCUGCCCCUGCCGCUCCCCAGAUGCCGCAGCCCCCAGGGGCCCAGCCGCGCAGGCCUCCCACGGGAGAAGCCGUUGGUGCCCUUGGCGGUGCUUCUGCUGUGCCGUUGCUGGUUUUCCGUGAGGGUGGCAUUAGAGGAGACCUGUGGGGGUUUUCUGGGCCCCCGCGUGCGCCCUGCCUGUGGUUUCAGGGGCAGAGUCCCAGCCGGUGAAGCCUGCACAUGACCUCUGUUCAGAGCACUUCUUUUCAGGACUCGGGUAACGUUUGUUUUAAAAACAUUGGACGACCCCCAAAAAUCCGAAGAAACACGUGGAAAUUGCUGCAAAUCCGUGCCUCCUGGCUUGCGGUGUUCCCCCUGGCCUGAGCUGGAGGAGGCCUGCUGUCCUUUCAUGUAGCUGUGACCCUGCUGCACCGGUGACGUCGGAUCGUGUUUUCCGAGGCUCCGCAGCCCCAGUGAGGAGAGGGGCCGUCCUGGGACCGAGUCCCCAGCUCUCCACACCUGGCAGUCCUCUGGAUGCCCGAGGAGCCUUAAAAAACCUGCCUUCGCGCCCCGAGCCUGUCUGGAGCCACACACCUAUCGCUGUGUCUGCACAUAAAGCUGCUUCUGGCCCUGUGA